RNAcentral lists this ribosomal RNA (593 nucleotides) under uncultured Methylobacterium sp. Its description in RNAcentral is "bacterial SSU rRNA". It matches the Rfam family "Bacterial small subunit ribosomal RNA", at positions 128 to 755 of the family's 1533-position model. Lineage: Bacteria; Pseudomonadati; Pseudomonadota; Alphaproteobacteria; Hyphomicrobiales; Methylobacteriaceae. The record is from RNAcentral.
GCCUUCUGGUUCGGAAUAACCCUGGGAAACUAGGGCUAAUACCGGAUACGCCCUUUUGGGGAAAGGUUUACUGCCGGAAGAUCGGCCCGCGUCUGAUUAGCUAGUUGGUGGGGUAACGGCCUACCAAGGCGACGAUCAGUAGCUGGUCUGAGAGGAUGAUCAGCCACACUGGGACUGAGACACGGCCCAGACUCCUACGGGAGGCAGCAGUGGGGAAUAUUGGACAAUGGGCGCAAGCCUGAUCCAGCCAUGCCGCGUGAGUGAUGAAGGCCUUAGGGUUGUAAAGCUCUUUUAUCCGGGACGAUAAUGACGGUACCGGAGGAAUAAGCCCCGGCUAACUUCGUGCCAGCAGCCGCGGUAAUACGAAGGGGGCUAGCGUUGCUCGGAAUCACUGGGCGUAAAGGGCGCGUAGGCGGCGUUUUAAGUCGGGGGUGAAAGCCUGUGGCUCAACCACAGAAUGGCCUUCGAUACUGGGACGCUUGAGUAUGGUAGAGGUUGGUGGAACUGCGAGUGUAGAGGUGAAAUUCGUAGAUAUUCGCAAGAACACCGGUGGCGAAGGCGGCCAACUGGACCAUUACUGACGCUGAGGCGCG